Molecule: long non-coding RNA, 1989 nt
Organism: Athene cunicularia (burrowing owl)
Lineage: Eukaryota; Metazoa; Chordata; Aves; Strigiformes; Strigidae
Exons: 6
Source: RefSeq, a predicted model, not a curated record
CGGUGGCUCAUAAAAGCCCCGAGGCAGAGGCCGGGCAGCUUUCCCAGCCCCUCCGCUUGCAAAGGUGACCCAGGGACAGAUCUCAAAAAAAAAAAAAAAUCACCUCAUAGAAGGAUACAAUCCUGUCUCCUUUCUGAGAAACCCUAACACAGAGGUCUCCGAAGAACAGGGGAUUCAGGCGCAGUUCUCACUACGUGCUGAUGAAGGUGUGUUUGGCAACAGAGGUAUGUGCAGAUUUUACAUAACCUGACAAGGUGCAACACAGGUAGCAAGAGAAGCUGAGAGCGGGCAGGAGCGCACAGAGGCCGUGCUGGCUGGGAGAUGAAUGCUGCUCGGGUGCAGAGACACGACUUUACACGCAAACUAUGCUGAAGACAGAAAUCAACUGACAUGUUCACUCUGGAGGAAUCCCCCGGGGUACCAGCAGAAUGCAUUAACCGUGCAUUUCUCCAGCGAGCUGCGGUGGGAAGAGCACGGAGCCAGAAAGAAGCAGUUUCGCUUUUUGUUAACACAAGCAGAGAGAACAUGAAGAAACAAUCUCUCGAAGGAUACAGACUGACAGCAAUAUUGCCAUCUGACUAAAAAGAACUCAGAUAUACGCAUAAUCCUCAGGAAAAUUCAUCUCCACCCUCCCAACAGACCCUGGUGAGAGCCCUUGAAGUGGUAAUUAAAGUCUAUUGAGUGGCAACUGCACCUGUUUAGAGAGGAGAGUGCGGUAAGAGGUGCACAAAGGGAGAUGAGCAGCAUGGAGAGGGAGCGUGUGUGAGAGGAGCUGCUGGAGGUGGGGAAGAAGGGAAGUGGGAAGAAGGAAAAAAAAAAAGUGUUUGUUGGAGAAGUCAAUCCUGUAAGAUGUGCAUUUCCUAUUCUUCCCUUUAUUUGCUUUCUGCACCCCUUCACACACGCAGCCGGCUUCUACCCCACUCUCACACCCACUGAUGGAAACUCCAGGGGGUUUUCCCCAGCCAGCCUCAGCCCUGGACCACCUGCUCUUCUGGUGUAAAUCAACAUAGUUCCACUAAAGUCCUUGUGGACUUAAAAUCAGCUAGUGCUUAUUUACGCCAGCUGAAGAUCUGUCCCAGUGACACUCAUUAGCAGUCACCGGGCUCCUCAAACUGGCAGGCGGGACAUGCCAGUUCUUGUCUUUUUUUUCCUAGAAGAGAACACAUCCCUUUGUGUCGGCUCUGUCACCCCAGCGCAAAUCCUACAGCAUCUGGGAGGAGUAAAUCAGAGAUGUUUCUAGAUUUGGGCGGAUGUGUCUGAGAGCAGAGUCCAGGCAGAGACAGAGGGAAAUGGAAGAAACUAGAGGGGUGCAAUGCCGUGUUACCAGCACGGCUGCUGGUUUUGCUCCCAAACGUUCUGACCCGGUGUUACCUCAGACAUCCCCAGGAUCUCUAGGCGAAGCCACGCAGGAUUUAUUCAUAAAUAUUACUGGUGGCAGUGGAUUUUUCUAUGCCCUUGAAGGCCACCACUGACCCAAGGACCACAACUGGGGAACCACUGGUGUGUCCAGUGAAUUGACACUUUGCAGCCAGACUUGAGGGCCAAAUUCUGUGGUAGCACAAGGAAUAGGGCACUUCUGUUACCUUCAACAGACCAGUGCUGACUUGUGCCACUAGAUAAUUGCACCUCGGUCUGCUAAUGGCACAAACCAGCAGAUUAAGUGGCAAUACAAUGUGGAAAGCAGGACAUAGAAAGUGGGAGAGGGAAAUCCUCCAGCGUUUGAGGAGGAGAGUAGGAAAGAGAGGACAUUCUUUGGUAUAGAAAUCUGGGCUGCCCUAGCAACCAGGGAGCCAGAGACCAGCGCUGCAUAGCGAUCUAGAUGCAUGGGCCAGGGAAAUUGUUAUCCUGAGACCCAUGGAUUGACAGCAGAAAUCCUGGCUCCUUCUGCCAUAAUCCCAACUUCAUCUCUGAUGUCAGUAAACAGGGUUUCGUGCUGUUUGCCCUACUGGGCAUUUCAGAUGAGCCUAUAAAAGCUUAGUCAAAGGCCCU